This 77-nucleotide transfer RNA is filed under the name Francisella sp. RNAcentral describes it as "tRNA-Met". It matches the Rfam family "tRNA". From Rfam's summary of the family: Transfer RNA (tRNA) molecules are approximately 80 nucleotides in length. Their secondary structure includes four short double-helical elements and three loops (D, anti-codon, and T loops). Further hydrogen bonds mediate the characteristic L-shaped molecular structure. tRNAs have two regions of fundamental functional importance: the anti-codon, which is responsible for specific mRNA codon recognition, and the 3' end, to which the tRNAs corresponding amino acid is attached (by aminoacyl-tRNA synthetases). tRNAs cope with the degeneracy of the genetic code in two manners: having more than one tRNA (with a specific anti-codon) for a particular amino acid; and 'wobble' base-pairing, i.e. permitting non-standard base-pairing at the 3rd anti-codon position. RNAcentral also lists the same sequence under 2 other names. The record is from RNAcentral. Lineage: Bacteria; Pseudomonadati; Pseudomonadota; Gammaproteobacteria; Thiotrichales; Francisellaceae.
CGCGGGGUGGAGCAGCUUGGUAGCUCGUCGGGCUCAUAACCCGAAGGUCGCAGGUUCAAAUCCUGCCCCCGCAACCA